AUCGCUUCUUGCCCAUUUGGCUAAGAUCAAGUUAGUAUCUGUUCUUAUCAGUUUAAUAUCUGAUCCAUCCUCUAUCCAAGGACAAUAUAUUAAACGGAGUUUUGGAGUAGGGAGUUGGAAUAGGGGCUUGCUCUGUCACUCCACGCAUCGACCUGGUAUUGCAGGAAAAAAAAAAAUUCAGGAGGGAGCAAAUUGA
This 196-nucleotide small nuclear RNA is filed under the name Choloepus hoffmanni (Hoffmann's two-fingered sloth). Its description in RNAcentral is "U2 spliceosomal RNA (ENSCHOG00000015265.1)". It matches the Rfam family "U2 spliceosomal RNA". Rfam says of the family: U2 is a small nuclear RNA (snRNA) component of the spliceosome (involved in pre-mRNA splicing). Complementary binding between U2 snRNA (in an area lying towards the 5' end but 3' to hairpin I) and the branchpoint sequence (BPS) of the intron results the bulging out of an unpaired adenosine, on the BPS, which initiates a nucleophilic attack at the intronic 5' splice site, thus starting the first of two transesterification reactions that mediate splicing. Lineage: Eukaryota; Metazoa; Chordata; Mammalia; Pilosa; Megalonychidae. The record is from RNAcentral.